Long non-coding RNA from Chiloscyllium plagiosum (whitespotted bambooshark), 2857 nucleotides. RefSeq lists it as uncharacterized. NCBI's taxonomy places the organism in Eukaryota, Metazoa, Chordata, Chondrichthyes, Orectolobiformes, Hemiscylliidae. The record is from RefSeq and is a predicted model, not a curated record.
CUCGGCUGCCUGCCUCCCUCCCUGGGCCGGGAAUCGGGAUCGGGAUCGGGAUCCACAUCGCCCCUGCAGCCGGGCGGAGAAUGCGUGGGAAAGAUUUCUCACAACUGGGCAGAAAAGCUAAAGACUGGCGGCAUGGCAGCGGGCAUUAGGUUCGUCACCUCCUGUGAGGAAAAGGUACUGGGGGGAACUGUUCAUUUGGAGAUGCAAGACCUUCAUUAGCAACCAACCAAGGACCAGUGGAACCCAGCAAUCUACCUGGAGAAAGAGACCAACACUGGAAAUCCUUCACUCUACUUCCACCUCUGAGGAGGAAGCCACUCAAUUCAUUCAGGGUUAAAUGACAAGGCUUUCAUCUGCAUCCUCCAGAAGUUCAGAGACUUUGAUCUAGGUUAAUAACAUUUGACGAGCACAUUACUGACCACAAUACUGUUCAAGAGUUGUUGCAUCAUUGCAUUCUCACUUUCAGCUUUUCAAGGGAGCACACUGCAAUUCAAGCUGGUCAAGAAAGUAAGAACCCAGGUCUCUGGCAUUCAGUGGACCUCCAAUGAUGAGGCUCCUGCUCAACCUGAAGCAGAUGACCAUCUAUUGGCCAUUAACGACUUUGGCAAAAUGUACAGAGAGAGUUAGGAACAUCAGACAGGCUUGUCAGGGCCAAUUCAUAAACUGGAUUGAAGGUGAAAGGAGUCCACCAAUGUUAUCAGUUUUCUUCCAGUUCCAGCAUGCAUGCAGCUAGCUGUCUCCAUCAACAAGUCCAGCAUGCUCACUCUGCCAGAUAUACACACAGACCCACUGCACUGCUCAGCAUCAUUGGCAGACAAGAGGAAUACAAGGGACCUCAAUCUCAUAGGUUGGUGCCAACAGAUGGCCACAGGGAGGAGGAUCCACAUAAGGACUCCCAUAAGCUUCCUCUCCAGAUACUACAGACUCUUCGCUCACUCUUCCUCCCCCCUUGUCUGUGUUGGUGAAGCCUGCAUUAGUCUAAGCCAAGGAGGGGGAGCCCGCAUCUAGGCAGGACACUGUCAGCAGGCCUAGUCCUUCUAGGCGCAAAUACCCCUGGGCCAAGUCUUCCAGGCCAGUAAGACCUAUUGAGGAACAGGCAUCUUCCACCAGCUAUGAAAGCCAGGACUGCACGUCAUGGUUGUGGGAGGGUAAAAAACAAAAAAAAAACAACUGCCAAGACAUAGGUGCUCAGGUGACACAGCAGUGUAAAUAAUUUUACACUUUUGGAAAAAUGUGUUCACACACACACCAAAAAUGUCUGCUGUAGUCAUUUUGUAGCUGUUAUGUCUGGUAAAGUCUCACCCAUUUAAUGUCUUUUUCAGAAAUCCCAAAAUUGAAAGAAGGUGUAAUCAACAAGUAUUAUUUAUCUCUUACAAGCAACCAACUCCUUUUUCUGUCACAUUGCUGACUGCAGCCAAAGCAUUGCAUUUUAAAGAAGACAACACUGACGCUUAAAAAAACUUUCUAAUUUGUGGUCGGCUCUGCCCUACAUAGAUCGUCCACACCUAUACUUACCCUAUGAGUGACAGGACUCAAUUAGAGAUGAUUCCACACGUCUCUGAAGAUGUUGUUGCAUUCUAGCUUUCAGCUUUUCAAGGGAGCAUAUUGUCUUUGAAGCUGAAGUGCUGCACAAUGGGAAGUUCAUGUUUCCACUGUACCACCUCCCCCUCCCCACCCCCCCCAAUUCAGUGGUCCUUUGAAAGAAACUGCUCACAGCGCAACAUCUCUCAUCCUCCAGGAUGCUCAAAUGUUUGAUGAGUGGCACGGUGGUUGGCAUUGCUACCUCGCAGCACCAUGGACCUGGAUUCAAUUCCACCCUCAAGUGACUGUCUGUCUGUCUUCCUGUGUCUAUGGAAAGCAACUUUGCAGAAUUAUGCAAGUUGUAAGUAUCCCUGAGUUCAAAAGUGGGGCCUGAAGCGUUCAAGUGAUCUGUGAGUUGGUCUGAAAGUAGCCCUAAUGAUGUGGCUGCAAUAGGGUUAAUUUUUCAAGGAGGUAGAGGAGAUUCAGAAGCUGUAUAGAAAUGAGGCAAGAUUCACUAAUAAUGAGAUGCAAAUAUAAGAAAAUAAGAUAGUUGCUAUUUAGUAGAGAACCCAGCGUUUAACUCUAAGGGGAAAAUUGGGAAUUUUUCUUAAUGUUGAGAAUUUAAUUUUAAAUUUUUACUAAAUCUUCCCAACUUUCCUGCCAUUGCCCAUGUUUCUUGAGAGUACAGAAAAUACUAUUGUUUGCUUCUGUUCUUGAAAGUGUGAAGUCUGAAAAACCCCUUUAAAUUGGAGGAACGUUUAGCACUUGGAUCUCCAUUGCUGAUGGCAUCUUUCUUGAUGAAGCAGGAGUUGUUCCAUUUUAAUAUCUGGAGGACAUUUGCUCUCAUGAAUUUGGUUUGUGUUGAAUGGCUAUCCUGUUAAAACAGGUACUUUAUUUUUUAUGCAUUUUUGGUCUUCUUGACAGUAUCCUCGAUCCCUGGGUCAAGCAAAUUAAUCUUGACUAUGUCCUGAUUCCAUGACAUUGGUUGUCCCAUCUCAGUGUUGGCUUCAAUGGAGUUGUGUGUGCCACACCCUCAGUUUAGCAGAUUUUUAAUUUCAGUUUACUGACAAACCAUGAAGUACACAGAGUUUUCAUUUCAACUUGUUCAUUAAGUUUUAAUACAUUUUUUGCCUACACUAGUUCCAUUACUGGUGAAAUCAAUAUGUUACACUCCUCUGUUAUGAUAUUUUGUCACUGAGGAUUAUUCCUGGGGAGAUAAAAAAAAAUUAUCUGUUUGAACAUCUUCCCAGUCACCUCAGCAUCUGACAUAACUGUGUGUUCACCAAUGUAUGUUACACUUUGUUACAUCAAUUAAAGAUUUGUCAGUUAACUCAAA